GAUUAACGCUGGCGGCAUGCCUAAUACAUGCAAGUCGAACGAGGUAGCAAUACCUAGUGGCGAACGGGUGAGUAACACGUGGGGAACCUGCCCAUUAGUCGAGGAUAACUAUUGGAAACGAUAGCUAAAACUGGAUAGUAUAUCGGAAGGCAUCUUCUGAUAUUUAAAGGUCCUGCAAGGGGAACGCUAAUGGAUGGCCCUGCGGAGCAUUAGCUAGUUGGUGAGGUAACGGCCCACCAAGGCGACGAUGCUUAGCUGAGCUGAGAGGCUAAACAGCCACACUGGGACUGAGACACGGCCCAGACUCCUACGGGAGGCAGCAGUAGGGAAUUUUCGGCAAUGGAGGAAACUCUGACCGAGCAAUGCCGCGUGAAUGAUGAAAUUCUUCGGAAUGUAAAGUUCUGUUGUUAGGGACGAAUGGCAGUGGUAGGAAAUGACCAUUGAUUGACGGUACCUGACUAGAAAGCCCCGGCUAACUAUGUGCCAGCAC
This 490-nucleotide ribosomal RNA is filed under the name uncultured bacterium. RNAcentral's name for it is "bacterial SSU rRNA". It matches the Rfam family "Bacterial small subunit ribosomal RNA", at positions 28 to 514 of the family's 1533-position model. The record is from RNAcentral.